Molecule: ribosomal RNA, 262 nt
Filed under: uncultured bacterium
Lineage: Bacteria
Description: partial 16S ribosomal RNA
Rfam family: Bacterial small subunit ribosomal RNA
Source: RNAcentral
AUGCCUAACACAUGCAAGUCGAACGAGACCUUCGGGUCUAGUGGCGCACGGGUGCGUAACGCGUGGGAAUCUGCCCCUCGGUUCGGAAUAACUCAGGGAAACUUGAGCUAAUACCGGAUGAUGACUUCGGUCCAAAGAUUUAUCGCCGAGGGAUGAGCCCGCGUAGGAUUAGGUAGUUGGUGGGGUAAUGGCCCACCAAGCCGACGAUCCUUAGCUGGUCUGAGAGGAUGAUCAGCCACACUGGGACUGAGACACGGCCCAG